AACGAACGCUGGCGGCAGGCUUAACACAUGCAAGUCGAGCGCGUAGCAAUACGAGCGGCAGACGGGUGAGUAACGCGUGGGAAUCUACCGAGCCCUAAGGAAUAGCUCCGGGAAACUGGAAUUAAUACCUUAUACGCCCUUUGGGGGAAAGAUUUAUCGGGGUUUGAUGCGCCCGCGUUGGAUUAGCUAGUUGGUGGGGUAAAGGCCUACCAAGGCGACGAUCCAUAGCUGGUCUGAGAGGAUGAUCAGCCACAUUGGGACUGAGACACGGCCCAAACUCCUACGGGAGGCAGCAGUGGGGAAUAUUGGACAAUGGGCGCAAGCCUGAUCCAGCCAUGCCGCGUGGGUGAUGAAGGCCCUAGGGUUGUAAAGCUCUUUCACCGGUGAAGAUAAUGACGGUAACCGGAGAAGAAGCCCCGGCUAACUUCGUGCCAGCCGCCGCCGUAA
This 447-nucleotide ribosomal RNA is filed under the name uncultured bacterium. Its description in RNAcentral is "partial 16S ribosomal RNA". It matches the Rfam family "Bacterial small subunit ribosomal RNA", at positions 29 to 523 of the family's 1533-position model. The record is from RNAcentral.